Molecule: ribosomal RNA, 368 nt
Filed under: Kocuria rhizophila
Lineage: Bacteria; Bacillati; Actinomycetota; Actinomycetes; Micrococcales; Micrococcaceae
Description: bacterial LSU rRNA
Rfam family: Bacterial large subunit ribosomal RNA
Source: RNAcentral
CCGAGAGGCGUAGGCGAUGGACAACGGGUUGAUAUUCCCGUACCGAUGAAGAACCGACCCUACUGAGCCGGGGAUACUAACCACCCGAGCCACCAUGACCGUGACCCCUUGUGGGUCGCGGGGUGUGUGGUGAGGCUGGGACCUGAUCCGGGGAGGUAAACGUGUUAACAGGUGUGACGCAGGAAGGUAGCCGAGCCAGGCGAUGGUUGUCCUGGUCUAAGCAUGUAGGGUGACCCGUUGGUAAAUCCGCGGGUUGUGUGCCUGAGAUGUGAUGGGACUCUCUUAGGUGAGAGAAUUCGGUGAUCCUAUGCUGCCAAGAAAAGCAUCGACGUGAGGUUCUAGUCGCCCGUACCCCAAACCGACUCUGG